Anopheles arabiensis is the source of this 991-nucleotide long non-coding RNA. RefSeq lists it as uncharacterized. The transcript is spliced from 3 exons. Lineage: Eukaryota; Metazoa; Arthropoda; Insecta; Diptera; Culicidae. The record is from RefSeq and is a predicted model, not a curated record.
AUGGAUGGAUCGAGGGAGAAACAGGAAGAAAAAGAAGAAGAAAAAAACACACAAACAUGUAGAAUUAGUGAGCGUAUGAGUAACAAUAGAGCGGAGGCGCAAACACACCAUCUCGUGCGGCGUUAUUUCAGUGAACAGAGAGGAUGCACAAUUUACUGCGUUAAGGGUGUUUUGGCAAAGGGUGAUGAUGACAGCUUCCGGAAAUUCAGUGUACCCCCCCGUCCUACCACAACAACCCCUAUCAAACACCAACAAUUUCGGUGUGUUGCGAGGAAACAAUUUCGCCGCCUCCUAGGCCGGAGACAGAGGCACAACGCGCUGUAAACACCUGACAUCAUCAUUCCGACAGAGAUGCGAAACCGCAGCAUGCCGAUUACCGUUGCGUACACACUGAUGCAACAACAGAGCAAUGAGGAAGGAAAGGAAAUCGAUCGAACGAUUGCCGCCACUUGAGGGCCGGUAGCGGUGGUAAGGAAACUGUCAACCGUUCCAGGGCCGGCCCCAGCACACGGUCCUUACCAACUCCAAAAGCUUAUGCUGCUGCCAGCGCGUCCAACGUCGCGGGUGUACUGUGAAGCUGUGCGCCGUGCCAGUGGAACGAAACAGAAAUCAUAAAAUUGGUAGUAAUAAAAUAGCUGCUGUAGGUCCAAUAUUGACGGAAGUACAAGUACGGGAAAUAACACAUACAGGACCACCCAAAGAUGAUUGACAGGAAAACAGUUACUAAUUCUGGUGUAAUUAGCAAGCUUAUGUUUUUUUUCGGGUGAGGUUGUUAUCAUCAUCCUCAUGCAGCAGCGAUCCGGCGCUACAGUGAUGACCAGAAAAAUAAAGACACAGCUAGUAAUUAUUGGGAUUUUUUAUUCAAAAUGAACGGCCGUAUGGCUUAAACGGGAAAAGAAUCUACAAAUAGUGUAUCAGUGCCAUUAUCAAACUUUUCCAAAUUAUACUUUAAUACAUCCUAAAUUGUUAAAACAAACAGACAGACAGACAA